UUUUGACCUGGCUCAGAUUGAACGCUGGCGGCAGGCCUAACACAUGCAAGUCGAACGGUAACAGGAAGCAGCUUGCUGCUUUGCUGACGAGUGGCGGACGGGUGAGUAAUGUCUGGGAAACUGCCCGAUGGAGGGGGAUAACUACUGGAAACGGUAGCUAAUACCGCAUAACGUCGCAAGACCAAAGAGGGGGACCUUCGGGCCUCUUGCCAUCGGAUGUGCCCAGAUGGGAUUAGCUAGUAGGUGGGGUAACGGCUCACCUAGGCGACGAUCCCUAGCUGGUCUGAGAGGAUGACCAGCCACACUGGAACUGAGACACGGUCCAGACUCCUACGGGAGGCAGCAGUGGGGAAUAUUGCACAAUGGGCGCAAGCCUGAUGCAGCCAUGCCGCGUGUAUGAAGAAGGCCUUCGGGUUGUAAAGUACUUUCAGCGGGGAGGAAGGGAGUAAAGUUAAUACCUUUGCUCAUUGACGUUACCCGCAGAAGAAGCACCGGC
RNAcentral lists this ribosomal RNA (496 nucleotides) under Escherichia coli. Its description in RNAcentral is "bacterial SSU rRNA". It matches the Rfam family "Bacterial small subunit ribosomal RNA", at positions 12 to 497 of the family's 1533-position model. Lineage: Bacteria; Pseudomonadati; Pseudomonadota; Gammaproteobacteria; Enterobacterales; Enterobacteriaceae. The record is from RNAcentral.